GGAAAAGAAAAAAAGGCUAAUAUAGCCAUAAAGAAUGCUUUUAAAUCAAGUAAUACACUUGACUUAGAAAGACAAGCCAGCGGCAAUUAUAAAAUAAUGACACCUAAGAAUGUUUUCAAGAAGUCUGGUUCAUAAUGCAUUCAAACUUAAAAAAAUAUUAAAGACAACUAAAAAAAUUUUGCUCAUUUUUGGAGCAAAAAAACUACCAAAGAAGGAGCAGCUUGAGGGAAUAUUAAUGGAUUAUGAGAAGAAAAUGAAACUGAACUAUUUUGCGUUAUCCUACAAGAUGAAUGAUUAUAGAGUACAAUAGACUGACUAACCAGGAGUUGAAAGCCAGAUCAUAAGAUAUUUGAAGAGACACAGUAACCUCUCAAAAUGAGGCCAAUUUUCUUAGAUCAGAGAUCUCCCUUGCAUCCAAAAACCUGGCAUACAGUUUGGGUAUCCCUUCUCCAAGAUAUGUGGGGCCAGAAAAUUUUCAGAUUUUGGAAUAUUUGCAUAUAUAUAAUGAGAUAUCAUGGGAUCAGACCCAAGUCUAAACACAAGAAUUCAUUUAUAUUUCAUAUACACCUUGUCCACGUAGCUUGAAGGCUUUUCACUUGAGUGCUGUACAUGUGUGUCCUUCAGGUACUGAUGAAGCCUCUACAGAGCUCUCUUCUCAGCCUUGCUCUGCCAUUUCUGCUGCUACUGCAGCAGUGACACUGGAAUCCCUGAAGCAUCAAAUCUUGAAUUGGAGGAAAGUACUUCUUUCCAUAUUUUGUAAUAUGUCCUACUAAAGGAUAGCAAAGCAGAGUUGUUUGCUCCCAUCUUAGAAACUUUUAAAUAAAAUUUAGGUAUUACUUUUAAACAUAGGUCCACAGAGAAGACAAAUCUAAGUGGCAAAAAUAAUGUGUAUUCAGCGUCACUAUUCCCCAAGGAUGACAAAUGUAUGUUUUUUGCUGUAAUAUCUCCCAGUUGACUCCAUCUUCUCUUCUAUUGAAUUUUCAACCAGAGAGCUUCUUAGUUCCUUAUUCAAAUACAGUUUUGGUAGACCUAACCAGUAUUAUAUGUGCCUGAUCUAUCUAAAUCUAAUCAAGUUUGGUUUAAAUGAAAUCAAGUGUACUCACAGCCUCUCAUACCUAUUCCAUUUUUACUUUU
RNAcentral lists this long non-coding RNA (1134 nucleotides) under Homo sapiens (human). RNAcentral describes it as "non-protein coding lnc-GLIPR1L1-1:2". Lineage: Eukaryota; Metazoa; Chordata; Mammalia; Primates; Hominidae. The record is from RNAcentral.